CCUACGGGUGGCUGCAGUGAGGAAUAUUUGUCAAUGGACGAGAGUCUGAACCAGCCAAGUAGCGUGAAGGAUGACUGCCCUAUGGGUUGUAAACUUCUUUUAUAUGGGAAUAAAAUGUUCCACGUGUGGGAUUUUGUAUGUACCAUAUGAAUUAGGAUCGGCUAACGCCGUGCCUGCAGCCGCGGUAAUCCGGAGGAGCCGUGCGUUAUCCGGAUUUAUUGGGUUUAAAGGGAGCGUAGGUGGUUUGGUAAGUCAGUUGUGAAAGUUUGCGGCUCAACCGUAAAAUUGCAGUUGAAACUGGCAGUCUGGAGUACAGUAGAGGUGGGCGGAAUUCGUGGUGUAGCGGUGAAAUGCUUAGAUAUCGCGAAGAACUCCGAUUGCGAAGGCAGCUUACUGGACAGCAACUGACACUGAGGCACGAAAGUGUGGGUAUCAAACAGGAUUAGAUACCCGGGUAGUC
Molecule: ribosomal RNA, 460 nt
Filed under: uncultured bacterium
Lineage: Bacteria
Description: partial 16S ribosomal RNA
Rfam family: Bacterial small subunit ribosomal RNA
Source: RNAcentral